This 2757-nucleotide long non-coding RNA is filed under the name Homo sapiens (human). RNAcentral's name for it is "HSALNT0063409". The record is from RNAcentral. Lineage: Eukaryota; Metazoa; Chordata; Mammalia; Primates; Hominidae.
AUUGAAUUCAGAGCCUCACAAUUGCUGUGUUCUACUUCGCCUAGCAACCAGAGAUGAUCCCUGCAACAUGCUGCUGUUGCUGGGAGUGGGAAAGAGGUGGCAUCGGCGGUUCAAGACUGAGUUUUCUAUCUCUUCAGUGCCUCUUUCAACAAUGAAGAUCAAACCAGGUUUUGUGCAAAUAUCUGCUGAGUGAACUACUUAUUUGAAAAUACAUCAUUGGUUAAUAUUCCCUUUUGCUCAUUGAAAUCUCAAAGACUACAGACCCCGCACAAGACAUUCUGACAUUCCCGUCUUUGAAAUGAAUGACAGCAAUGAUAAAUAUGGCUCACCUCCAGAGAUACAGAUCUCACAACUUCAUAUUUUUAAUAUAAAUUAUUAAUCUGAGGUGUGGUGCAAUUCCAUUAGAUGAAAGAGAUCUACACAUUCAGAAGCACAUGAUUCUUCCCCCUUCCAUGAUUCCAGUGGCCAAUAGAAUGGAGUGUAGUGGCGUGAUCUUGGCUCACAACAACUUCUGCUUCCCACAUUCAAGCGAUCCUCCCACCUUAUACUCCUGAGUAGCUGGAACCACAGACAAACUACAAUAAAGCCAUGCCCUGACUGGAUGUGCCUAACAUUUGUCUGGUGCUUAAAGGAGUUGGCUGCAUGCGUGGAAAUGUUGGAAAGUCACCAAAAAUAGUUCUCCAAGUCAGAAGCGGUGCAAAAGCUGCCUCAGCUCUUGGUGGAUUUUCAAUUUCUCCCAGCCAUCUCUGUUUCGCUAAAGGUUUCUGAAGACAGUGGAAUGCUGUUGAAGACACCACCUUGAUAAAACAAAAACAUCAGCCAAAUUAAAUUUAAAGGAGUUUAAUUGAGCAAAGAAUUAUUCAUGAAUCAAGCAGUCUUCCAAGCCAGAGUAGGCUCAAAUACUCCAGCACAGCCACGUGGUGGAAGAUUUAUGGACAAAAGAAGAAAAGUAACAUAUAGAAAAUGGAAAUGAGGGGAAGCUUUUUUCUCCUCCCCAUCCUGAUCACUAGUAUGAGAAGGGGUGCUAAUGGACCAGCCUUGGCCUUGCAGAUGAAGAUGAUGAAGGAAGAAGAUGUAUAAAGAACCUCUGAAAGAGUCCCAGUUUUACAUUUCAAAGUCUUUUUCCUUCUGUUGUUUAUUGUGUUGGGUUGGAGUGGAGGAUAUUUGAUGGAGAAUUGAUUCUGAAACUUGCCAAAAUAUGGAUAAUACUUUGCUCCUUUUCCAUUGUGGGUUAUCACAAAGAAGAGUUUCACUUUUAGUCAUCUAUUUACAGGUACGGCAAUAGCUAUUUUCUUUUUCUUUUUUUUAUUUUAGGUUUUAUUUUAGGUACAUGUGAAGGUUUCUUGUAUAGGUAAACUAGUGUCAUGUGGGAUUGUUGCACAGAUUAUUUUAUCAACCAGGUAUUAAGGAAGCUCAGUACCCAAUAGUUAUAUUUUCUGCUCCUCUCCCUCAUCCCACUCUCCACCCUGAGGUCGACCCCAGUGUCUGUUGUUUCCUUCUUUCUGUUAAUGAGUUCUCAUCAUUUAGCUCCCACUUAUAAGUGAGAACAUGUGCUAUGUGUUUUUCUGUUCCUGUGUUAGUUGGCUAAGGAUAAUGGCCUCCAGCUCCAUUUUUGUUUCCCUCUCCAGCAUCUGUUUUUUUUUUUAAUUUUUAGUAAUAUCCAUUCUGACUGGUAUGAGAUGGUAUCUCAUUGUGGUUCUGACUUGCAUUUCUGUAAUGGUCAAUGAUGUUCAGCUUUUCUUUUCAUGUGCUUGUUGCCCACAUGUAUGUUUUGUUUUGAAAAGUGUUUGUUCGUGUCCUUUAUCCACUUUUCAAUGGGGUUGUUUGCUUUUCUCUCGUAAAUUUGUUUAAUUUCCUUAUAGAUGUUAUGACCUAGCAGCUGUACCUUUUUUAAUUUCAAGACAUUCAAUAAACUAAGAACCAACAGCACAGUUGAUGUGUCUUUCCAUGACACCUGCCAUCUUUCCUCUCUUCAUAGCUAUAAGAAUAUUUUGGAAGAAGAGUUGCUGAUAAAUGCCACUUAGGGAAUCUCUGAGCAUCUGUUAUUAUAAAUGGUUGACUAAAAUUUAGGGUAAAGCAUCCUAUUAAAAAUGAAGUUAAGGACUUUAUGUAGAACUUUAAAAUUUGUCCCCCAAAUCCUGUUGUAUGUCAACAUAUUAUAAAAUAAAUUGUAAAUAUCAUAACUCAGCAAAAGAACAUCAUCUAAAACUCAUUAAGAAUUUAAUGUUGAGUAUAUCAGUGACACAAAAUCAUGAGGCAAGAUGGUUUAAAUAUGUUACAAAUAAUAAUAAAUAAUCAUACCCUCUGAGUUUAAAUUCUUUAUCACCCUGUAUGUACUGCCACUCAACACUUGACUUCAGGGCCAUAAUCCUUAGUGAACCCAUCUAACAUCCACCUAAAAUAAAGGUUUGGAGCCACUCUUCUAUGCUUAACAAAUAGCCUUAAGCAUCAUGAAUAAACAGAGACAGGCUAGCUCCUUUUUGCUCUAUAGCCUUAAGUAGUUCUGACCAUGACUAGAAAGACAUAGCUGCAAGCAGCCUGAUCUUUUUUUAACAUCUUGACUUUUUGCAAGGUAUUUCUAAAAUAUGUUACUAAUAUGUACUUCUUGGUUGUUUUACUAAUAUUUGAAAGAACUAAAGUUAUCAUUAGUCACGUUUCAUUUGAAACUACAGAAGCAAUAAAAACAACAAAGUUCCAAUAUAAAAUCCAUUAUUAAAUAGCUUUCAACAUAAUAGAUUAUUUACUACAAAAUAGCAA